UUUUUUUUUUAUGUGGAGUACAUUACAUUUAUAAUUCUACCACAAAGGGGCACUAGCCAUAAGGCAAAUACAAAUACAGAAAUACACACACCAACAACAUAUACAACAAACUCACGAUGAGUUGUCGCAACUUAUUCCGACUCUGAAAGAGUUAAAUUGCAAAAAAAACUUAAAACAAGGCCCUACAACAUCCAUAAUGUGAAGUUACACUUAAUACACAGACUUAGUGUCUCCAACAUAAUCGGCCAAAAUAUUAUAAUUUCUUUUGCGCUUCUUAAGGAAGUUCUUGAACCAAUACGUCGAAAGUUUUGGGUGCCUUUUCCGUCCAUUGUCAUAAUCCACAUAGUUGAUACCAAAUCGAACUGUAUACCCUUCGCUCCAUUCAAAGUUGUCUAAAAUUGACCAUGCAAAGUAUCCUUUCACAUUACUUCCCUUCCUGCACCCCAAAAAAAAUUAAGGAAAACUAAUGAAAAUGGUUUGAAAACUUUGAGUUUUAAUAAUAAGGACAAAAUAAAGGGUAAAGUGAAUAGUACCAGAAUUGAUUUUUUAGUGUAAAAAUGUGGUUUUUGUUAAAAUGAAUAGUACCGAAAGCUUUUCGUUAAAGUUCCCAAAAAAUUAAUGAUUUGGCAUCAAUGUGAUUACUAAAUAACCAAAAAGCAAUAUAGUUUUAAUUACUUUGUCAACAACACUUACUUGAUUGCUGCUUGAAGGUAACAGAGAUGGUGAUUGUAGUAGUCAGUUCUAUUGGUGUCAUGAAGAGCAUCCUCUAGUGAUAAGGUUGAAUUAUUGACCUCGUCAAUGCCUGCAAUAAAAUUCAUUACAAUACAUAUUUAGUAUUCUCUUUUAUCUAAAAAAGAGAGAUGAUUGGUUUUAUAUUUAGAUUUGGCAGCACUUAACUGUAUUUUACAUCAAUUUAUACAUAUAUAAAAAAUGAUAAGUGAAAUAAUUAAGUUAGGUGUAAAAGUGUUAAUUACCAUUCUCAGUAAUGUAAAUGAUUGGAUCACCAUACUUAUUCUUCGUGUAGAGUACAAAAUCAUGAAUUCCUUUUGGAUAAACAUAUAACCAGUUUGAAGCAGCCUGUAAUACCAUAUUUGAGAUUUAUAAAAGUUGUAUAAAUUAAUCCUCCAAAUAUGAAUAACUUGACCUAAAAUUUGAUGUGUACCUGAGGACCAAUAGGAACGCCAUCAAGUUCAGCUGCCACAACAUAUAUAUGAAUGUGAUCAAUAGUAGAAUCUAAUAAUACUGACGUAUGAUUAAUUAGCCGAUAAAAUUUUUGAAUUUGUACUCACUUAGUAAAGUAACAUGUGGAUCAUAUAAGUAACUUGCAGGUUCAGAAUAAUUCUUAGGUACAUCAGCUGCAUAUCUAGCAGAAUAAUAGUUCAGUCCAAUAAAGUCAAAAGACCCAAUUAACAUCUUUGAUUCUUCAUCUGUGAAUUUGGGUAAUCGUUCUCUAACGAGGCCUUGCAUGCUGUAUGGGUAGUCACCUCUUGUAAUUGGAUCCAUAAACCUAUAAAAAUGUGAAACUUCCAAACAUGAACUUAUAGUAUGCAUACUAUACCAGUCACGGCUGGCUAGCUAGCUAAUCAACAUUAUAAGUCAUAAAUAGGGCGAUCUCAAACCAACAAAACUCCUUGUUUUGCAAGGAUCGGGAGGGGUGAGGAACGUUUAUCGUACGCAACCUUACCCUUAAUUUGCAAAUAGACUAUUUCCACAACUCAAACCUGUAACCUUUCGGUCACAAAUGAGCGACAUUUCUGUUGCACCAAGGUUUACCCUAUUUACGAGUCAUAAAUAAAUAAAAAGAAAUAGUAAUGCUAUUCAUACCAUGUUUUUAUACCACAUUUUUAUACUACCUUAAGUGGUAUAUGAUACGGACAAUAUCGUGCUACGGCAGUGGAGCGGGCCCGGGAUGUGAUGGACCCCGGGUCGGGAAAAUAAAAAAAAAGAAAAGAAAAGAAAAAAAGAAAAAAAGAAGGAAAAAAAGAAAAAAAAAAGAAGAAAAAAAACCACAUCAUUUGAAAAAUUUGCAAAACCCAAGGAAAUGAAGGAGAAAGACUUCUCGUAUACCACAAUCAUCGUUUGAUUAAUUAGUUUUUCUUAAUUAUUAGUUUAUUAAAUAAUGAACUAAAUUUAAAAAUCUGAUUAAUUCAAAUGAUGUGGUUGUCCACAUCAAAUACCACCUAAGGUGGUAUGAAAAUAUGGUACAAAAACAUGGUAUGAAUAACAUUACUAAAAAAGAAAUCAAUUGCACUUGCCAUCCGAACAUAAAAUCCAAAGCUCGAUAUGAAGCAUCCAUAUCUUCCUUUGCUUCUGAAGCAGGCUCAAACCAGUGCGACACUAGUGUUAUUCCUAUCACCCCAUUCUGAUAUGCCUACAAAGAAAAUUCAGAAAAUUAUUUGAUUUAGUGCCCUACAAAGUCCAAACUUUGUUUACCUCGCUAUACAAAAUGUUUCCUAGCACACCAAUAUUCAGACAAAAACAGGAACUAGCUAGCUAGUUAAUUAAUUGUACCUGAAAAUUUUCUUUGUACACUUUUACAGCAGCUGCAUGAGCAAGAAGUUGGUGGUGUGUGACUAAAUAGGGUUCGAUAGCUGAAUCUCCACCGAGGCAGGUUGGGUCUUGCCAAGCAGAGCAUCGUCCGGGUGCGUGGAUCCCAAUUGUAUAAGCAUGGUUGCUAAAGGUAUAUGGCUCAUUCAACGUGAUCCAGUGCUUCACUCGGUCACCAAAAAGUGAAAAACAAAGUUCUGCGUAGUCUUUAAAGUCAUCGCUGUGUGUACAUUUCAAACGCUUUUGUUAGAUAUAUAUAGAACGUACGUUUUAGUUAAACAAAUGAUCAAUAUUAUACAUAAGAUAAACUUUGUUGACUUACGCAAUACGAGGGCUUAAGAAACCACCAUAUGCAUCUUCUAAAGCUUGAGGAACAUCCCAGUGAAAGAGUGUCACAAAUGGUUGUAGGCCUAUAUAUAACAUUACCAGUAGAAAGAAGAUUAAAAGUUCGAUUCAGUUAAACUGUAAUUAUAUAUUAUGUAAUGGGCGGAUAUAUGAGAUUAGGUAGCUUUAUCACCAUGGAGAAGGAGUUCAUUGAUGAGAUUGUCGUAAUAUUCAAUUCCUUUCCUGUUAACACCCCCACUUAGCGUUCCAUCUAGUAAAUAGAACAAGAUAAUCAAAUUAGUUAAUGCCUAAUUAAUUCAGGUUAGUCCAUGAAGUAAUUGGUCCCAAAUCAAAUAUAUGAACGCUGAUGAUCAACAUUACUUGGUAACAAUCUGGACCACGAGAUAGAGAACCUAUAAGCAUCGAACUUCAUAUCCUUCAUAAUUGCUACAUCUUUCUGUAAUGACAAGAAAGAAAUACAUAAUACAAGAAAGAAGCUAAAUAUUAAUUGACCAUCUCAUGUUCAAUGUGCCCUUCAACUUCAAAGUAUGAAAGGUUUGGAGAAUUAAUAAUAUUAUUCCUUGAUAGAUAACCUUAUAGAGGUGGUAUUGAUCAAUGGCGACAUCUCCAUUGCUGCGAUCAGUGAUUUUUUCUGUAAAUAACCAUAGAAGUUUUUUUUAUUAUUUAAAGCAUAAAGAUGGUAGAAAUCAUACAGUACGAACUAUUAUGUCCAUACAUGUAUAGUCCAUAUCUUAACAUAUGCAUAUAUACUACAUGCCCAAUGGUAGUUGAUGAUGGUAUGCAGAAGACUAUACCUGGAUGGUUGUGGGUGAAGGUGUCCCAUAUGCUUGGUCCUCUACCAUCUUCGUUCCAUGCACCUUCUACCUGAAAUGUGCAUACAUACAUUUAAACUGAAGAUGUCAAUAUUCAUGCUUGAUUAUAUAUAUGCUAGUUUUCUGACAUUGAAAUAAAAUUAAACCUAAGUGAUUAUAUGAAGGGAAAUUAAAUGGCUAAGCUCUAGUAAAGACUGACCUGGUAAGAUGCUGAAGCUGCGCCAAAGACGAACCCUGGUUUAAGAGCAUCAAAUUUUCCCCUGUCAAGAGAGUUACAGACAAUGGGCCGAUAUGGCUUAGCAGCUUUGGUGUUUGUCAAUGCAAAGCCAGUGAGUAGCAACACAAACAAGAGCAAAGAUCCUAACUCAUGCAUCGCCAUAGUUAACUGGAGGGGGUUUGGUGAUCGAGAUAGCUAGGUUGGUUCUUCCCUGCAUAUUGCAUGGGGUUUAUAUAGAGGGGCUACGUACUACGUCUACAUAUGAAAAUAAUUGAUAAGCAUUUACUUACUAAAAUUUGAUAAACUCGGGCAGGCUUUAAAAAAGUGUGGACCACUUUAAAAGACCAAAGCAAAUACUUUUUGUAACAAUAAUAGUGUUGGGAUAAUACACUUAUACAUACAUACAUUAUAUAUAUAUAUAUAUAUAUAACUUGAAAUUUUGGUGGAUUGAUAUGCAAUAUAUACCAAGGAAUGGAUUUAAUUCUUCUAAACUAAAGUAGAUAGAAAUAUUCAAAAAAGGAAAAAAAUUAGAAGAAAAAUUAAAAAGUGGAGAAACGCACCUCAAGAUAAUAUUCGAUAUCAGACUUUUUUCCUUUAUACUGUUAAUCCAAUUGGGACCGUACUCCAAUAGCAAGCGGUGGCGAAGCAUGCAUGCAUGCAUGCAAAGGACCAGAAAUGUUCAAGUGUUGAUAAAGCCCUUCAACAAUACAAUAGAUUUUUCAAUGUGAUCGGUACACAAGGUGGAACAUUACGUAUCACUGUAAAAAUUAUAUGAUAUGUAUGUUAAAAAGUUAAUAACUUAAAAAAUGAAAUUUUCCACCACUUUUAUUAUAACACGUGAUGUACCACUUGUGUUCCCGUUAUAAUUAAGAAUUUCUCCAACAAUAUUCUGGAACGUAGCCAUCGAUCAUUCUCUUCGUGCCAAAUGUUUGCUAGAAUAUGUUAACACACUCAACACCCAGUUACCUUAACUCGCAAAGAACUAUAUAUGCCCAUGAUGAAUGCUUCCUUAAUCAAAUCACCCCACGAAUAAUUAAUAGUUUUAACCUUUCAUAUCAGUUUAGAAGUUUUAGAAUUGAUUGACAAAAAAAAAAGGUUUUAGAAUUGAAUUACCAGUAAUAUUUCUAAAUCUUAAACUGCAACUUGAAUAUUGAUUUUUUCCCAUUUCAAUUGAAUGCUUCGAUCCGUCAAAUGUGGCUUGGCUUUCUGUUCUUUAUAUUCCAAACUUAGGUCUGUAUAUGUUUUUUUUUUUUUUAUAAUCUUUAUCGUGUAAUAACUUAUGUGUUGUGAUUGGAAGUAAUUUUUUGUUGAUUGUUUUAGUAUUUUAUUCAUACCGUUUAUUUAGGAGAAGGAUUUGCAGAAAUCGGCAGUGUCUCAAAGCAAUCAUGCAAUUACAUGUAUAAAGUUAAAACGUGGCUUGCUGGGUUGAUUAGAAUACGUCAAUUUCAUUGUGAAGAUCUUUGCUGGUAACCACCAUAUGUUGACGUGUUAUUGUAGUAAAAACUGGAGUGCUUGAUUUACUCUGGAACGGAUCGACGGAGUGAGUAAGCAGAUUCACUAUUCCCGAGAGGUAGAAAAAAUGGUCUCACGGCCACUACUAGCAUAGCAUGUAAGUUGAAAAUCAUAGUACGCGUAACAAACUAUGAAUCUAUGAAUAUUAUUUAAUUAACUCAAAAUUAAAGAAAAGAUUGCUGAAAUAGCUACAAACUAAGGAAUAUAUUUGGUUGACUCACUUCUGAUAGAGUUACAAAAUCUGUUUAUAAUAAUUGAAACCCUAUAAAACCUAAUACUUGAAGUAUCUAAACUACCCAAUGAAUGAAAUAAAUAAAAAAUACUAAUAUUUUUCAACACCCCACAUCAAACUCAUGAUGCUAAUUAAACGAUAUGAGUUUGCCAACAAACAGAUGCGAAUGUAAACUCUGUUUGGCGAACAAUGAGGCCUGCAUAUUAUGUUUGGUGCUCUUCAACAAAUAGAUUUUGUAAGGGGGACAUACUUUGCAGCAUAUUGCCCAAAUAGGAGUAUAGAAAUAAAAACAUAUGAAUGCUCCCCCGUACUUAAUGAACGAGAUUCUUAUAUCACAAAUACAACAGCGAACAAACAUAAAAUCAUUUUGUCACCACGUGUGUGUAUAUAUAUAUAUAAUCUAGGGAGCUUUAAUAAAAAGGGCUUGGAUCAACAAAUAUUUAACCAAAAACCAUCCAAAAAUAUUAUUUAACCAAAAGGACUCAAAGUUUAAUAAAAAACCUUCUUCUCACCCUUCUCUGGCUUAAGCGGUGCAAGCUCCGCGCAGCACUUGGGUUUUUUCAACUUCUCCAACAAUGGCAACCCCUACAACAACAUCUUCGAUGUCGACUUUGAUGUCUUCGAAAACCAAGGGUUCCAGGAUCCUGAUGACAACCAUGUUGGUUUGGACAUCAUUCCCUUACCUCUAAUGCUUCGAGCACCGCAGGGUUUGUUUGUUGACUUUUUUUCUGACGGUUUUGUUGAUGGGUUUGACGGUGUAGGAGUCGAUCGUUCGCCUCAGAGCUUUGGGUUUGGCCAUGGCGGAGAUUCUAGAGGCUCAUCGCCCAAACCAGACACGCAGAAUUUGGAAUUUGGAAUUGGAAGAAGAAAUGUAGGAUACUUCGUUGAGGGGUUGGAUUGUAGAAUCCUAGGAUGGACGCAUCUACAGAGGACAAUAGCUCCUUUAUUAUAGAGGACUUUUUCUUCUAUAUAUUGACUGGGGUUUGUUCGUUGAUUUUUUUAGCAUGAAAUUGUUUCGACUCCUGAAACUGUGAGGUUGGACUUGAAAUUUCUAUUGUCUUGGUUUCCCACUUGGUGCAGUUUGUUGAGUCACUCAUCCCUUAACAUUGUUGAACUAGGCAAAAAAAAGAACCAAAACAUAAAACUGUUUUUAGAGAACCCAAAACAUAAAACUGUUUCUGGAAAAAAAAUCAGAUACAGUGUUUGUUUUGUCUGUGCACAAACAAAUAUUGUAUCUGGAAAGAAAAGAACCAAAAUCCAGAAACAGUGACUUAAAUUUCAGAAACAGUGACUUAAAUUCCAAAAACAGUCUAUGUUUUAACCUUUGACUGUUUAUUUUCUUUCAUGCAUCAGUUGAUUAUAUUUAAGAAACAAGAUGCUUAAUUUGCUUUGAAUCCAAAAACAGUGAAUUUCACUAUUUCUUUUGUAGCUUACAUUUAAGAAACAAUGUGUCUAUUUCAUUUGGAUCCAGAAACAGUGAUUUAGAUUCCAAAAACAGUAACUUAGGUUCCAAAAACAGUGACUUAGAUUUCAGAAACAGUAACUUAGGUUCCAGAAACAAUGACUUAGAUUCCAGAAACAAUGUUACUUAAAAUCCAGAGACAAUUUAUUUUUACAAUCUAGAAACAGUGACCCGUCGUUAUUAUUGAAUAGCAUGCAGAUCUCAAAUUUAUUUUCUAGAGAAACAAACGAUAAACUCCACUAAUGAAGAAAAAAUGAAAAACAGUACCUCGAAUACACUAUGAAUAAUAACGACGAUCACAUUUCAACGAAAUAAUACAAAAUAUAAAUUAAAUAGCAUGAGGAUCUAUAUUUUUGUUUCAAAAAAUAAAAAAGAAGGUCUGCAAAACAACGAUGAACUCCAUUAACAACGAAAAUCUGGAACUCAACCUAAAAAAGUUAAGGGUAAAAUGGACAAAUCAUAAUUUAUUAUAGUUGUGCCAUUUUUAGUUAGACUACAUUAAUAUGAGAAUUGUACUAAUCAUUAAACAAAACUUAUAACAUGAUUUUUUAUUAAAACUAAAACUUUUCAAGCCUUUUUUAUAAGUUUUCCUUAAAAUGUAACAACUAUCAUUAGAGUGGUCACCAAUUCAAGCACUUGAACGGUUGUUGUGAUGGACAAUAACAACAUACUCUAUAUACAGGCCCAACAACAUCAACCCUUAUCAUGUCACCCUUAUCGGCCCCAAUAACAACAAAUACUUUUUCUCAACAAAACCUUUUCUUAUCCCUUUUCUGUUUUUUCUUUUGUGCGAACGUAUGGAGUGGACUCAAUGCAGAUAAUGUUGAAAUACAGUAGUGGGUACAAAUGAGGUGUGGCAACAUGCCUGGUGGGUGUGACAACGCAACAACGAAUUCAUGGAUUCAUAAGGUCACGAUGUUGGUGGUCAGAUCGCGAUACAUGUGUGGGUUUGGUCAGUAACAAUGACUAAAGUGGUUUGAUGCGAUUUCGUUAUGUGGUAUAUCAACAAGCGGUAAUGGUAACGUUCGGAAUGGAUUUGUAUCAACGGUCAGUGGGUUCUAGGCCGCGUGACAUAGUUGGUGACAGAUCUAGUACGAGUGCGGGUCAACAUUGCAACAACAUCAUACCAGAGCACAGUACCGACAAUGAGUUCGUUGAUCAGCGGAGGGUCGAGUGCAAUAUAUACCUUAGAAAACCUAAUACUUAAAUUAACUAAAAUACCGUAACAAUAAAAUUACCUAAUAUGAUAAUAUUCUCCAAAAAUGUUUCUCUUACUAUCUAUUUGUAUUAUUUCUCUAAUAGAGAUGGACCCACAUAUGUUCGCAAGCCUUACCUCUAUUAGAUAGAUGAUACAAAUGAUGAUACAAAUAGAUGGUAAGUGUACCAUCAACAUUGUAUUCUUGAAACCCUAUCGGGACUUGAGCAACUUUAAUAUUAUGGCUAAUUACAUUUUGCACCUUCCAUGUUAAUGAGCCAAAUAUAUCUUGUACAACUGUUAAAUAGUUAGUUACACGUGUAUAAACUUAGUUGUAGUUGUUAGGGUCUCAAUUGUAAUUAAAAACACAUGUAUGUGUGUGUGUGUGUGUGUAUUGAACUUAUUACAUUGAGUGAAAGAAAGAUAUUUUGCAAGCUGAGCUUCUUUACAUGCUAAGUUACUUUACAGGUUUGAUGUGAUUUUCAAAAUUGACCAUGAGGUUUCAACUUUCUCAUAUUUUCAUGAUUUUUAAAAUUGUAUUAAAUUCAGCGAACUGUUAUUAGUACUUCAAAAAUCUCAUUAUACACUCAUCAUAAGUGUUGUUUUCUUUCUAAUUAUAGAAAAUUUGGAGUGCCAAAUGAGAUUUUUGAAGUGGUAAUAGCAAUUUCCUAAAUUUUAAAUUUAUACCUUUUCUCUCUUUGAUUGUCUAAUCCUUCAUAAAAUUAAUAUUUUUUUUUUUUUUGCUAACUUGGCAUGCAAAUGUAUCUUACAAGUUAGCCCAUACAAUAAAUUUGACCAAGUGCACAAAUUAAUACAAUUUCACUAUCUUAGAGUGUAAUAUGUGAGAGUUACAAUUUAUUGAUCUAUUUUGAAGAUGAGCCCAUACAUGGAGAGUGUAAAAUGUAGAUAUCCCUUAUUAUUAAGACAUAAAUGAUGUACCAGAAAUAGAAAUUUCUUCUCUUUUUCCUUUUUUAAAGCAUCCAAACCCCACCGCAAGUCACAAAGUCACAAUCCUAGCCGCUUACACAAGCCCAGAAAAAGAAAGGAUGGGAUUCCAUUUUUUCAUGACAGCUUUGGUGAGGACUACGACUCAUCAACUUUAUAAAAAGAGUCUUUACCAGGAAAAAAAAAGGACAAGGGAAAUAGAGGCUGACCUAAAAAAAAGGGAAAGAGAGGGCCUCAGCUUCUUUGCAUGCAUUUCACACAUGAAGUGAUAGAACUGACAUGCACGUUGCAGAAAAAUGUGUGGUGGCUAGUGAUUAGGGGCUCGUACGUGGUGACUCGAAUGGAGAAGGAGGCAGAUUCUUUGCUCUUCUAUUUUUCGUAUUUUUUCAUGCUCUCAUGUUUUAUGUGGUCACAAUUAAGCUACAUCUAUUACUCUUAUAAGGUUAUACAAUUAAAACACAAUAUGAAGGAGUGACUGACCUGAUUCUAACGAUGGUCAUGGAUAUCAAACACGAAAACAAACAGAGUACGGCAACACCAAGAUCUUCUAUAAACUUCUAGCCGAAUACAACUACUCUAUGGGAAGCAUUAUGUUGUGUUCUAGGGCUUAUAGGGACCGGUGUUUUAUAUAGGCUAAAAGCUAGGGUUUCCAUCUAUAAAGGAAACCUAAAUUUUACUUCUUAGCCUCCAAGUCAAGUAUCAUAAUCAUAUUCAAUUAAGGAUUCCAUCAAUCCUAUUUCCAAUAUAAGACACCUUAUAUAGGAUUGAUAUCUUUAAGAGAUCAAAUCACAAUCAACAUUAUUCUCCAAUAUUACAUUCCUAUUACAUGUAGUAGGCCACUUAAAUGUCGAUUUAUAUUGGAUAAAUCCAACAUUCUCCCACUUGGUCUACAAAAUGUAAUAUUCAUUUUUAUACUUGAGAUUGGAGACUAAUGUCACUUUAGUGGCCAUGUAACAGUGAUUACAUCUCGUCCUUAAUGCAAUUUCUGUCAAAUGCAUUUCUUAACAUGAAACUAACAAGGUUGUAGGGUUGACACAACCCAGAACCUUCAUAAUCACACAUGCUAAGAUCCUCAUUCACAUGAAACACAAAUUAUGAUCAAGAGAUGAAACUUUAAAUUAAAUUUUAAAUUAACCAAAAUGUCUUACUUUAUAUCAUCUCAGGUCCACCUUAUUGUAACUCACAAGUUACACUUUAUACUUCUUCGAAGCCUUAAAUCUGCCAAUGCAGAUAUCCUUCAUCUAAUGAAGCCACCAUAACCUGCAAGUGUGAAUACAUUUCCAAAACAAUCAUGCAUCACUUUCAUUAGAUCAGUAAUAAUACAAACAAUGUUUGUAGCCAAUGGACACAACUAAAAGUACCAAAUAGGCACAUGUCCAAGUAAAAUAUCCCAAAAACUUCAUAAAACAAAUUAAUUCAACACUUGUGAGCAAGAUGAAUUAAUAUGUUUUUGACACUGAUCUAUGCACCAUACCAGUUUCAUAGUGAUUUCCAACACCUGCGGGCAAGAUGGAAAUCCUCACAACUGAGGUAGUGCAUAAACCAUGUCAUGCCAUUUAAUAUGCAAUUUGAUAACAACUUGCUAUCUAAUAUAUAUUUCAUCAGAUAAUUGACUAGCACACGAAAAAUGUGAUUUAAUGAAUCUAACUGGAGAUUAAAAUGAAUACAUGGAUUCUAUACGUACCUUAUAGGUCAUCUGUAAAUGUAAGGCAUUACUAACACGAAACUCAAACUCCCACUGAUCUGCAACAUCAUCACUUAAUUUGCAAAUCAAUACUUUAAUCAUAUUUUUGAAAAUAUGCCUUUGGGAAUAGCCUUACUUAGUCAAUGAAUGCAUAUUACCUCAAUGAAAGGUACAAUUAAGCACGAAAGCAUUCAUCACUGUUACACAAAAACAUGCAUCCAACAACCAUCUUAUAUGUAUUAAUAAGUCCACAUUUAUCCUAAGUCCUUAUAAGCCUCAAAACGAAUGAUCAACCAAGAAAUCCAAAUGAUUUCAAGUAACAGAAAAAUGUACGCAUAUACUAAGUAGUCAUUCGUGCAACUUAAACAUAUUAUUAUUAUUCGAGUAACACAAAUUCAUGGAAGAUAGAAUAACGCUUUAAUAAAUUCAUGCAAAUCCGCUUAAUGCUCAAAAACUCCCACUAAGUUUUCAGAGUUUAUACUUGCAAAUAAGUUAAUGAGUGUGAAGCCCAAUUUUCGUUCACUAAUUCUCCCACUUGGGCAAACACUCAUUAAUAUAUUCUUUCAGAGAUGUACCUAAAGAAAAUUGCUCUAUAUUUUAGACAUAAUAAAAUAGACAUCUCAACCAACAUAAAGUUGGCAAACAGAAUUUCAGCAACGAGUUACACUUACUUUAGCAUUAAUCAUAAUUAAUUUAUAAGCUUGAUUGCUACCAAAUUUAUACUGAUCAAAAUAGACAUACUAAUAUUCAUAAAAUAAAAAUAUAGAGACGUUUUGGAUCAAAAUAAUAGUCUAAAGUCACGUCUCAAAAAGACCAACACAAUCUGCCAAGAACUGUCUAUAAGAGCAUGGAUUACUAGUGAAUUCACCAUAAUUAAAAUACAUGGCAGAAAAUUACAAAACUUUUCAGACACAUAGUAGACAUCUAUAUGUUGAACAUAUCCAAAAUUCAGAUCAUUUGGUGACCAUUAGACGUGUCAUUCACCCGAUUUAAACCAAGACACGCAAUCUGCCAGAAACAAUUAUGUGCAUCUAUCAUGAAUUUAUGCAUCCAUAACAAAUUCAAUUUCAUAUCAUUUCAAUUUCGAUGUCCAAAGGAAACUUUAGUAGUCAAAUUUCAUCUUCUAAACCGACAUCAUAAUUCAAAUUGAAAAGAUUUACAAGCAUAAGACUUAAACAAUGCGUACCUUAGCAAUCCUUGAUUAACCUUCAUGGGUCCAAUACUUUGCAUCAACAAGUCUCAUGAAGAGAAACAAAAUAUGUCAUGAUGCAACCGAUUUCCAUGCCUUCAACCCACAACCUUUUAUGGGGCUCAUUGUGGAAAUAUUUGUCACCAAUGGCAUGGAACUUUAUCCCAAUAAACUUCACGAAACUAAAUUAAUUUACACCUGUAGGCAAGAAAAUUAACUAGUUUCUAGUACUAGAUUUUAUGUCACAAAAGUACCUUCAUGAAAAACUUCAACACAUGUAGGCAAGAUGAAGAUUUUCACAACUUCGGUGAAAUAAAACUCAUACUAUGCCAUCUGAAUUAAACUAAAAGAAGUAAUCCACACUUGUAGGCAAGAAGAUUAUCCCUUUUGUUCUAAUUAAGAUGCAAAGAUGACCGAAGUAACUAAAAAACGUAGUCCCAUCGUCAACUAAACCGUUGCAUCUUGCUUAGUUGAAAAGGCAUUGGUCAACUCCGUCCUAAAAUAAUACAAGAAGUCACAUGGAUUAAUUAAUUGUAAGUGACAAAAAUAGGAUAACAUGAUUCGAGCUUCGAGUCUUGCCAACAAAUGACACUAAUUCCUUCAUGACUCCCUUUGAUAUUAAAUUAAUCCCAGAAACCUGACAGCAUACUUGAAGGAGAUUAAUCACAUAUAGAACAAGUUUUCACCACAAGAAUGUCAAUACUUAUCAUUACAGAGUCAAUUAGAAAUACUUUAUGUAAUGUGAGAGAACAAUACAUUCCUUUAAUUUAAAAGCUAAGUCACUCAAAUGUUUGCUUAAGUCAAAACAGGUUCCUUUUCUUUUGUACCUUUCUUUCCGUAGUACAAGGCUCCUAAAACAUUAGCAUCAAAAUCGUGCAUUAGCCUUGUAAAUACCAAAUUAAAUAAAAGGAACCAAAAUUAUUUUCUUCCAUAGAAAACAUUUCCAAUAUAUGCCCUACAUUAGCCUUGAAAAGUUUCUUUUCUUCUCCCCUUAUGGCAUAUAAAAAUUACUAAUCAAAGCACUGUUUAAAUUCUUUAGGCAUAGGAAAAACCACAAACAAUAAUACAUGUUUGAAAAUUCAUGCUUGUCAAUUAAGCCACAUACUUUGAAUGGAUUACAUACCUCAUGUCUUCAUAUGUUCACCACUUCUUUGUAAACAUAUAUAUAAUCACAUGACCAACCAAAAUUCUCAUAUAAGCAUAAAAAUACAAAUGAGAACUGUCACAUAACUACUACAAACCUUAUUCAUUUGUAUAAUACCCUUGUUCUUGUCACUGGAUGCUUUCUGUCAUUCUCAGUCAAUCCACAAAUUAUACAUCAAUUUUCAUAGUUAACUAGUCAUGUAUAAUUUAAAUGACUAUUGAGAUAAGAAAGCAAAUUGUAGACAAACCUGAUUGAUUAGUCAUGCAUAUUUCUUGUGCUAUUAAUGGCAUAAAAGUUCAUUCUCAUCUUGUGAAAAUUAGUGGAAACAAAACUACAAUUCACUAUAGUCCAAAACCCAUGACAAUAUUGAAAAUAUGUAAUCUCAUGCUCGAACCAAUUUAGCCAUACAAGCAACACUAUACACGCCAUUUGCUUAACAAAUGUUGCCAAAAUCUGUAUGACUUACUUUCAUGUAUAGGAAUUUUAUCAAAUUCAUUAACAUACAUGUAUAUAGUUGACACGUAUAAAACUUAGCGUAUGCUUCCCUGCAACACUAUUGUAAUAUAUGUUAUUACAAUCAUAGGCAUAACAUAUCCCAAUAGUAUUGAUAAAUUAUAGGAUAUGACUAAUUAUGUCUCCUACAAUCAGAAAGACGUCACGACAUGGUUGGAUUUUGCAGGAACAAUAUAACACUUCAUGAAUCCAACAUAACCAUUCCUUAUAUAAUUUAUCAUGAAGACCAAAAGGAAAGAUCAUACCAGAAUUUCAUAUACCGAUGUAAUACGAACCUCUUCAUUGGGCUUGUUCCACUGAGGAAUCUUAAGAAAUUCUCCAAUGCAAGGUUAGAACAAAUGUAAAUACAUAUACAUGCUAUGCGAACUGUAGAUACAUAAUUGGCUUUAGAAAAUUAUAUAUACUUGCUUGAUCCAACAAUUGCUGGCAUUUAUGCAAUUGUUUCUUGUCACAUUAACGUAUCACUCGUAGCAAUUCAUAUAGAAUACAAUUCAUGGAAAAUAAUAUUAGUUCUUAUUCAAUAAGCUUAUGCCCAUUUAGAUACGUAUUGCCAAAAUAUAUAAUAAUUGGAUCCAUAUUCAUGACAUACUUAACCGAUACAUGGUAAUCAAUGUAUGUACAUACUCUACAAUAAUUAGCACAUCACUCAUGCAAUUAUAUCUUUAUCUUAUUACCAAUUUAAGCUUUGAGGGAUCAACCCAAAUAUAUAUCAACCAAAAUACCAUAAACCAUUAUGGAAAUCAAAGUCAAUGAAACAAACCAUUUUGCUUUGGUAGAAGACUUUGCUCUGCUUGCUAAUCGGAGGGACCUCUUCAGUAAGGUCAGAACAAAUAUAGCAUGCUUACAAAAAUUGAGAUCAUCAGUGGCACAUGGUAAAUCAAUUCAACCAAAACACUAGCAUGAAGAUUGAAAAAGAACAAAACUGUUAUUCUUCUUAGUGCCAUGGUUUCCACUGUAAAAUACAUAAUAUAAUACCACGCCUUACAUAUAUGCUUCUUUACGUUCCUAUUUGAUUAUAGGAUUCCAAUUCCUAUAUGGUUUUUAAAUUUCAUGCUUCAAUACUAUAAGAAUAUUAUAUAAAUUCUAUGCUUCAAUUCCAUAAUUUAAUUCAUGCUUGAUCAAAAGCACCUCUAAGCGUAGUUCAAUUUCCAAUUGGCAAGCAAAACUAUGUGGUUAUAUAUAAUACACCGCAUACAAUAUUAUGGGUUCGUGCUAUAAUCAGGCAACUUGUCUUGCUGAUAAUAAUCAAGGUAUCAAUUAGCAUAGUUCUUAAUAAAUUUCCCUUGACUGCAACCAUAAUAUUAGUGAAAAAUAUUCUUGAUUAAAACUGAAUAAUUAUGUAACCUGAUCAUAAUUAACAAUUGAACUUAUUCAAAUCGCAUGGUGAUGUUGCCGAGUAUAUGCAAUGAGAAUUUGGAUUAAACACGCAGUUCAAGAGAAUAUUAUAUAAUCCAACAUUAAACCUAAUAGGUUUUAAUUAUAUAAUCAGUGGCUCUGAUACCAACUGUUAGUCUUAUAAGGUUAUACAAUUAAAACACAAUAUGAAAGAGUGAUUGACCUGAUUCUAACGGUGGUCAUGGAUAUCAAACACGAAAGCAAACAGAGCACGGCAACACCAAGAUCUUCUAUAAACUUCUAGCCGAAUACAACUACUCUAUGAGAAGCAUUAUGUUGUGUUCUAGGGCUUAUGGGGACCGGUGUUUUAUAUAGGCUAAAAGCUAGGGUUUCCAUCCAUAAAGGAAACCUAAACUUUACUUCUUAGCCUCCAAGUCAAGUAUCAUAAUCAUAUUCAAUUAAGGAUUCUAUCAAUCCUAUUUCCAAUAUAAGACACCUUAUAUAGGAUUAAUAUCUUUAAGAGAUCAAAUCACAAUCAACAUUAUUCUCAAAUAUUACAUUCCUAUUACAUGUAGUAGACCACUUAAAGGUCGAUUUAUAUUGGAUAAAUCCAACAACAUCAAUAUUUUAUAUUAUUUUUUUAUAGAGAUAAUAUGACAAAAAGAAAUAGUAAUAUAAAAAGUUGACAUGGCUUAACCGUGAUCACACAAACAGGAUGGCACGAAAAAUGAGAGAACAGAGAAUCUGCCUCCAAUGGAGAAAAGGGUUCAGUUUGCUAGAACAGGGAAGACUUUGGUUGUGGAUUGAUUAUCCAAUCUAAGGGCAUCUAGUCUUUUUAUGAGUGAACACAAGAAAAAAAUAAAAUUACAAAAAUGAACUCCUAUGAAGCUCCAGGGAGAUUAAUCCUACCGAUUGGGGUCGGCCCUUCCCUACUACAAAUCCUGCUUGCUUCUUUUCAUUUUUGCCUAAAACCUUGACUUCACCAUAAGCGUCUGUACCGUAUUUACAAAGUCCUGAACAGCAUUAAAACUAGGAAGUUUUAACGAAACACUUCCGAUACUAUUCACUUUUAACGAAAAACCACAUUUUUACCUUUUCCUGAUACUAUUUACUACACAUUUAUUUGUCAUUUUUCAUUAAAACUAAAAAAAAUUUGGACUGUUUGUUAGUUUUUCUUUAAAACUAACGGUAUGCCGCAAAAAGCUCACCUGCCAUGCCGAAACAACGCCAAUACAAGCAGUCGUAAGCAAUUGUAUUCCGACAUAUACCUAAAAAGUAAAAACCCUGUAAUAUAAGGACAUAGAAUCUACAAUUGACCAUCUACGCCUGCUGUUUCUACCCAGACGACAUCCAUUUUUUUGGCCUUACCCAAUGCAAUUCAAGUAUAGAGUCUCUGGCAUUGAUGCCUAUUUUGUAAAAGCAUGGCAAAUCCUUGCAUCUGCAUCAUAUCCCAUUGUAGAAAAAGUUGCACGCCUCUCUGCGUUUGGGGACAAUUUGGUUGUUUUUCAAUCUCACAUGUGAGACUAACAAGGGCCAUAAACAUAGCACAACAGUGAUGGUAUAUCCACCAUGCAUGGACGAAUAUCACUUCCACUUAUUCUCAGUAUGUAUUCUCGCAGUGCCAAACCAGUGUAGAGGAAUAACAUUGUAAGCCUGAAGUGGAAACGUUGGCAAACAUCCAUCCCAAAUCGAAGAUCUUAGUAUACGUAGUGUUGCUGGGAAAAGAAGGAAUAGCAGCGCAGUUCAUCUCUGUAAGCGUUGUAUUCCUCUUUAACCUUGAGUUGGAUAUCUUUGAUAGAGGAACGCACGUUUAUGGGACCGAGAAAGAACCUCACAAAACUCCCUCCCUGAGAUUUCCCAGGAAGAAACGAAGCAGCAACUCAAGAUAGAGUAAUGAUAGGGUGACUGAAUUUCUAGAUUAAAUUUUAGAAACUAAAGGACAUGGAAAUUGAUGAUUGGUUUAUUACUUAGGCGUUGAUUAAUGUGCUCAAUCUUAUUGGUAACACAUCAUUUAGUUUGCAAAUGUAAUCUAAAAAUUUAAUCUCUCUAACAUUACCUAUUAUUAGAUAUGAGAUUUUUUUUUCCUUCUUUAUUGUUAAUCUAAUAGGGACCAUACUCAACUAGCAAGCAGUGCGAAACACGCAUGCAUGCAUGCAAGGGACCAGAAACGUUCAAGUAUUUCAAUGCAUGUUAUAUAUAAUUAGAUAAAGUCUUUCAACAAUAUUUUGGAACGUAGCCAUUGAUUCUCUUCUGGCCGCCCAAAUAUUUGCUAGAAUAUGUUAAAACACUCAACACCCUGUUAUCUUAACUCGCAAAGAAUGGUAUGUGGCCGUGAUGAAUGCUUUCUUAAUCAAAUCACCUUACGAAAAAUUAAUAGUUUUAACCUUUCCAGUUCAGUUUAGAAGUUUUAGAAUUGAUUGAAAGAAAAAAAAAUUUAGAAUUGAAUUACGCGUAAUAUUUUCCAAAUUUUAAACUGCAACUUGAAUAUUGAAUGCUUCUUGGAGGAAACAUUUUAAGUAUUUUUUCAAGAUUUACUUGCAUUUUCACUAAGGAUUGGUUUGAAAAAAAACUUUCAUCAAAAUCAUUUUCAGUCAUUUUAGAAACACUUUCAGAUAAUUCACGUGUUCUUACUGAUAAGUAGAUGUGUAAAUUCUAAUUAUUCUUUCCUAUAUGGACUUGUAUUGGGAAAGAAGGAUUUCCUCUCCCUCUUAUUACUAUAAAUAAAUAAAGUCACUACAUAUGAGGGAAUAAGACAUAAUCCCCACGAUUCUACAAAUACAUCUCUCUCUACAAUCUCUCCUUGAUGUCGUCCCUCUUUCCUUAGUCAAAUAAAAUAGGCUACAACAUAUUUUUAUUUCUGAAAACUCUAUAGGCUUAUUAAUUCCGCAGUUUUGCACUGGCGUUUAAAGCCCAAAAACAUUAACUAGCAAAGCCCAAAUAAAAUACCCUGGCCCAACGGAACCGGACUAUAUUGGAAGUGAAUUUGUUUGGUUUCUCUAACCAUUUCUGCUGAGAAUCGAACCAAACCCAUGAGGGACUCCGACUCGGUUUGCGACUCUGGCCCAACGGAACCGGACUAUAUUGGAAGUGAAUUUGUUAGGUUUCUCUAACCGUUUCUGCUGAGAAUCAGAAUCGAACCAAACCCAUGAGGGACUCCGACUCGGUAUGCGACUUUUGGGUGAACUGAGUCGAACCGCAUCGUACCCACCCCGUAACGCGUAAGCAACACACAUCGACUUGGCUUCCAAACUAAAUCUUCCAUUGUUUACUGGUAAAAUAGAUUGAUCCCAAGGUAAUCAUUAAACAUUAACCUAAACCGUAUCCAUUCAGGCAAAAUAGAUUGAUACAUCUUUUAAGCUGCCAUCCAAACUUUGCAAUGCAACAGAAACAGCGGACAUUUUCGUGCGAACCAACGCUUCAAUCGCCAUGUUGAAACUGCAUUUUGAACAAGCACCCAAAACAAAUUGAACCAAAAUUCUAGGAUACUCGAGGUGCUCUAAUCGUUAAAUCUUUAAUUCCAAUGAAGGGGAAAUCAAAGGGGUUUUUUGUACCCUCAAUCUGUGGAUUCUGUACAAAUAAAUGAACAAAAACUGCAUGCAGCAUAAUCCCUCCCAAGAUACACUAAGAACAGUUCAAACGAAGUUCAAUAUUCAUAGCAAGUGAAGAGCAAAACAGAGAUGGAAUGGCGUUCGUGAUCAUCGCAAUGCAGUUUUGACAAAACACGAACACAAUUGGAGAAUCAUACACCUAGAGUUUGAUAGUAUUCGAUGACUAAAAACCCUCUAUUCGAAGGUUGAUUUCUUCUUCGAAAGAACGAGCUCUGAAUCUCUGAAAGAGAAGUAACCCCAAGGAUUAUAUGAUUGGGCAUUUCAUCAAACAAGCUUCGCAAUUGAAAACCCCACAAGAUAUGUAUAAGCACCAAGAAUUAUAUGAACCACAAUCGUAUUUCAUUUCCUACCAAGAUAAAGAUCGAGUUCCAAAUCAACGUAAAUUCGAAAAAAAAAAUUGAAAGUAAAAUACACAUUUACUAAUUAAAACCCUAACCCUAGACCCAUACGACUUGAUUUCAAGUACCAGACAUUGAAACCCACAAACCCUAACCCUUCAAGAGCUGGUGAACUUAGUCACGGCCUUGGUCCCUUCCGAAACAGCGUGCUUGGCGAGCUCACCAGGGAGCACGAGCCUCACGGCGGUCUGGAUUUCCCGGGAAGUGAUCGUCGGUUUCUUGUUGUACCUCGCGAGCCUGGACGACUCCUGGGCGAGCUUCUCGAAGAUGUCGUUGAUGAAGCUGUUCAUGAUUCCCAUGGCCUUGCUGGAGAUCCCGAUGUCAGGGUGGACCUGCUUCAGCACCUUGAAGAUGUAGAUCUUGUAGGUCUCCACGCUCUUCUUCGAUCUCUUCUUCUUCUUGUCUCCGGCGGCCGCUCCGGCCUCCUUCGGGAGCUUCUUUCCGGCCUUGGGCUUUUUCUCGGCGGGGGCUUUCUCCGCCACGGCGGACUUCUUCUCCUCUGCUGGCUUCUUCUCGGCGGGCCUUCUCGGCUUUGGGCGCCAUUGUUAGAGUUGGGUGAGAGAAAAGUUGGGGGAUUUGGGGAUUUUUCGAUUUGGAUUGAAAGACUCGGAGAGUAGGAUGUUUCGUGAUGGACUUAAAGAUGAGGAGAAUGUGUUUUUAUAUAAUGGGGAGCGGUUGGAUUCCAUUGGCUAAAUUGGUUUGACGAGGAUCGCUGUCUGGGAUGUGGUUUUGGCCGUGGAUUGGGUUUGGGAAAGUUCAAACAUUGACGGUUGCGAUGUGUUAAGCUGGUUCAAGCGGAUUGGUGCCCUGAUCGGUUAGUUUAAGUGGAAUUGGACGGUGGAUAGUUUUUGUAUGAAACUGAGAACGGACGGUUGAGAUGAGGGACUGAUCGAUGACAUCAUCUGGGUGUAGUUCUUUUUACGAAGGAUAUGCAAAUUAGAAAUAUCAGAUAGUAAAACUUGGGUGAACUUGAUACAAUAUUUUACAACAAAAGAUAAUAAAAGAAUUGAUUCUUACCAAUUGUGAACAUGGUUUAUAUCCCCAAGUAGAUUGGAAACCUUAAAACCAUUGUAGAAGAGAAAUGCGUACAAAAUUUUCUUAAAGUUGAACUUUUUUAUGAAUUAUGCCCUUCAUGUUUUUUGUACAAUAUUUUAUAAUAUUGGCGAUACGAAAAUUGAUUUUAUAGUAUGAGAUGACAGAGAUUCCAUGAAAAUGCCCACUUUAAAAGAAUAUUCUUAACAUUUCUCGAUUCUGAAAGAUUGUAUUAAGAUUAAAGCACUUCCACCGUGCUUAAUUGCCCUAUGGAUAGGCUCCAAAUCCAUCGCAAUCCACCCCCUCUCCCCCCCCCCCAAAACUCCUUUAGCCCACCUUCGGCAACUAAGCAAAGAGGAGCCAACCAAGAGGUCAGGCAAAAAUCCAAGGCCCAAGGGCCUGGAUAGAUGUGACGUCAGACAUGUUCUAAAAAAAUUUGCGUCAAGCGUGUGGGCAACACACGCAAGUGGGCGCAUCUCCGACAUAUUUUCAAACGGAGGGCCCCACAUGUCAACCCCACUCAAUUACCAUUGAAUCUGGACCAUUUGAUUUCUAAAUUGUCCACGUUUUUUGGCUUAAAAAAUUAGAAAUGUAACGGUGGGCCACGUGUCACAAUCUGGACUAUUAGAUUUCAAUUUUUUGGUAAUCCAACGGUCUAGAUUAAUUAAGUUAAUAAAAAUUUGAAAAAUAAUUAAAAAUCUGAAAAAAUAUCAAUAAUUUUUAUAAUUUAUAAUUUUUUUUUUAUAAAUACCUUGCCAUUUUCUCCCACUUUACACCAUAUUUCAAUAUUUCAACGAUUCUAGACAAGUAAGGACACAUCGCAAAACGGAAUUGAUUAAAAAUCUUAUCGAAAUCUAUCUAUAAAAAAUGUACUUUCGGAUAAUAACACGUAGCUUAACGAGAUCGGUUAAAACUCCUAUCAGAAAUUAAAAAUAAAAUUAUUUUUUAUUAUUUUAUAAAAUAAAAAAUACUAAUAUUUUAAUACAAAUUGUUUAAGCUAUUCAGUAUUGUGGUGGAGAUGCAAUAAAUAAUUAUUGUUCAUUAAAGUUGUUACUAUUCACUAAGAGAUUGAAUUGCCUAUGGCCAAGGAGGCCCUUUACAAUUGCUUUUAGGAAGCUUCCAAAGAAUAUUUAACCUUAAAAGAUGCUUUCUGUACUGUACUGAGUGAGUGUAUAUGGUUGCUCAAAUCUGAAUGAGAUUCCAGCAGAGUUGGGGAAGAUGGAAUCUCUAAUAGGGCUUAAUUUUGCUGAAAUUCCAAUAUCUCAAAUACUCAUGAACACCGCUGGGAUGGUCGAAUCAUUCAUGAGGAGAAAUCCAGAAAAUAUUUGGGUCUUUCGGAUGAUGCUUUUCCGAAAGAUUUUGCUAGGCCAAUAAGAUCGACAAGCAUCCCGUCCAGGUCUCUCUCUCUCUCUCACACACUUACAUUUCUUCCUGGGAACGUGCUGCCUUGUCAGUUCAGCCAUAAAAGUAAAGGCCCUUCAUAUCUUGUACUGUGCCAUCACUUCAGGUCUCCGGAUUGGAGGCUUGAACGUACUCUCUCUGUAUAUACAAACAUUGCUCAUUACGAAUGUACUACUAACAACGAUAGUAAAGAUGUUGGGGUUUGCAGCCCAUUGAAUCCAAUAAUGGCUGGCGUUGUUAAUAAGUGAACAAAUCUGAAGUGGAUCUAUGAACCAUCAUGCCUCUGCUUUCCAGAUAGGGGAGAAGCAUGGUAUGCUUCAGCCACUGGAGUUUGGGGAAUCAAUUGAGAGAUGGCAACGAAGUGAAAGUUCCCGAUUUCUGAGAUCCUGGUUCCGGGUAAAGGAGGGGCAUUCAGCUAAUUGUGCACGAGGAAGAAAAUAAUAUGUGCAGUACCCAACGAGAAACAACUGAUCCUUGUUUUUCCGAUCAUUUUUGGACAUUUGGCGUGAUAGGAGUUGAUGCCAAGAACAUACUUCGUCUCCCAUGGACAAAAGGAGAAAGAAAACGUUCAGGGAUUGCAUCAUUCGGUUUUGUUCAAUGACAUAUUGGGGAACUCUACUCAAGAGAAAGAAAGAGAUGUUGGAAACUAAUGUGUUUGUAGUACGUAUUAAUUUCCAUGCAACUGUCAAUGCAGGAAGUUCAUUGUAUAACAAGUAUCCCAGAUUACAUUUAUUCAACUAUGUGCGGGACUUGGAGUAGUCAUGUUUUGGUUGAAAAUGCAAUCAGCUAUUUCAGAUUUUGUCUCUGCAGCAGCAAUGGCAGGUACGAACAUCAAUUUCAAUCUGCUAGUUUGGUUGGUUCGUGUUUUACGAUCCAAAUCUAUAGAAAACUUGCAAAGCCAAUGACAUAUUGGUGGCAAGGAUGAGGAUUACUAGUGUCUUAUUUCAGAUCAUUGCCUCUGAGUACGCGUCUUGCAAAAUUUAGGGCACCAGCGAAACUGAAACCGAGUUUGAGCCAACCGAUCGAAUCAAUGUGUAGACUGAAAUUUUAACUCCCCGUCCAAAACUAACUGAUUUGAUUAUAAGUUCAUUCCAUACCGACCGAACCAGACCGGAAUAGGGUUAUUAUAUACAUUCUAAUAUGAAAGGGGGUCAUUCGAAUUCGAGCGUAUCUAAAUAGGUGAAAUUACAAAAUUAAACACUGAGUUGCCGCCCAAAUUAAUUGGUGGCGCCAUUGAAAUAGCGUCUAAAAUCCCUAUUUUCCUUUGAUAUUCUACACAUCUGCAUAAUUCUCAUUUCUUUAUUUAGGCAAUGAAAACUUGAGCACAAGAAACAAUAAUCGAUAGACUGCUAAUGAUAUUGAAAUCGGAUUCAUGACAACAAAAGAUUUUGCCGAAAACCAGGUAAAUUUUUCAAACGCCAUAAGGACAAAAUCAAAUCGGGCUAAAGGGGUCUAACCACAUCAAUGUAAAACUCAAGCAAAUGCAAAUAUUCAACAAAUUUAUGUUACUCAAAUCCUGAUUUUCAAUUUAAAACAUUAAAGUAAGGAAGUGGGCUGUUCAUUUCGAAUUCAAGAGAUUACAGAAUCCAAAUUCAUCAAUCCAUGCCACCACAAAUUUCAGAUCAUUGUAUUUCAUCCAAUAGAUAAGAUAUUACAUAUCUACUAACCAGAAACCCUACACACUAACACAUAAAGAUCCACUCUUCCAAGCCCUAAAAGACGCAGACGACGAACAGAACAGAACCCACCACACUU
Molecule: long non-coding RNA, 23326 nt
Filed under: Malus domestica (apple)
Lineage: Eukaryota; Viridiplantae; Streptophyta; Magnoliopsida; Rosales; Rosaceae
Description: long non-coding RNA (MDOM_LNC002491)
Source: RNAcentral